AACAAAAUAUUUUCAAAUUAUUUUUCCUAUGAUGAGGAAUAUUAUAAUUGAGUGAGUGCACUAAUAUUAGUGCUAUAUUUAUUUUAAUUUGGUCACAUGAAUAAUUAUGCUAUGACAUUUCAUUAAUUGUGACUAGUUUUCCAUGAUUUAAUUCUUGUGGCUUAGCACAUGGUUUAUUUUCCACCACACAAUACUACACUCUCACUUGAUUAUUAUAAUCAAUUAGACAUGUGUGUUUUAAUCAAGAGGCUUAGUGGGUAAGCUUGAGCAUUUACUUGUUGGCUAAGUUUGGAAGCAAGUGGAGGAUUUUAAACAAAACACUUUCUCUUUAUUCUCACUUCUUCCCUAACUCACGGCCUCACCCUUUUCUCUCUCUAAUCUUCCUUUCCUCCAUUAAUCCUCCAUGAUCGAAGAACACCAAGCUUUUUUUUAGAUCAUCUCUACACCCAAGUCUUCCAAAGAUAUUGAUCUAAACACCUCUAUUUCCUUGGUAAAACCUAGAAGAUUAGUGGAGAUACAAGCUUGAAGGUUGGAAAGAAGAUUUUAUUUUUCUCUUUGAUUUACUUGAGCUUUGUGAUGACCAGGAGGAUUAGCGCUACUUUUCCAAGACAGGUUUAUAUGUGUAUGAUCUUCAGGCUUUGCCUAUCCAGGUUGAGCAGCUGAUGGAAUGGAAUGGUGUUGAGCGGGUGUUCCUUUGACAUUUCAAGAAAUGUAACCUUGAGUAUACAUCUUCAUAUGUAUAUCUCACACGUUUUCCGCUGCAAAACACUUUGAUUAGGAUAACUCUAUGUUAUAAAGUUGUGACACGUGUUAUUGGGUAACCCACCUUAAUUAGUUCUCCUUUAUGUGUAUGUUUUAUAAGUAUCCAAAUAAUCAUAUAUGAUCCUAGCAUUUUAUCUAUGAGUGACAUUUCCAUA
Molecule: long non-coding RNA, 917 nt
Organism: Salvia miltiorrhiza (redroot sage)
Lineage: Eukaryota; Viridiplantae; Streptophyta; Magnoliopsida; Lamiales; Lamiaceae
Exons: 3
Source: RefSeq, a predicted model, not a curated record